CAUGCAGGCGGUUUGGCGCGUUUGGUGUGACAGCGGCUGGCUUAACUAGCCGAGCAUACGAAAGACGGCCAGACUUGAGGACUCGAGAGGGACACGGAAUUCCGGGUGGAGUGGUGAAAUGCGUAGAGAUCCGGAGGAACACCGAAGGCGAAGGCAGUGUCCUGGCGAGGUUACCUGACGCUGAGGUGCGAAAGCCAGGGGAGCGAACGGGAUUAGAUACCCCGGUAGUCCUGGCCGUAAACGAUGACCACCAGGUGUGGGAGGUAUCGACCCCUUCUGUGCCAAAGGGAACCCAUUAAGUGGUCCGCCUGGGGAGUACGGUCGCAAGAUUAAA
Molecule: ribosomal RNA, 334 nt
Filed under: uncultured bacterium
Lineage: Bacteria
Description: bacterial SSU rRNA
Rfam family: Bacterial small subunit ribosomal RNA
Source: RNAcentral